GAGAAAACAACAAAAAAAGGAUAACUAACAAAAGCCCCAUUCUCCAGCUCUUGCCCCGGCCAGCGCUUCAGCACGCCUUGUCUCACCCCUGAAGGAAGAGCUUCAUCCCUUUCCAGUGAAGCCUGCUUGCCCUGUAUGAUGCAGGGUCAAAGUAUGAGGUGCUCCUCAACUACCCAAUCCACCGGUGCAUCAUGAGUCCUCAACAUCCAUGUAAACCACUUUUCCUAUAAAGAGCAGAUGCAUGAGAACAAACCCAUUUGAAAGGAACACUUUGGCUUCAUGGUUCUCAUAGAAUUCUAAUGAGGAAUGGGUCAUUUUCUGGCACUAGUCUCUUAGUUUGUUGAAGAAAGGAUGUAUGUCCGAUUCCUCUGCAGUUUCCUGAAAUUCUGGAUACAUAAUGUUACAUAAAUUGUGAAAAUUCUAACAAGGAGCAAACAGCAAAGAACUGAAAUGCUAUACAGACUCCAGUGAGAAAAAACUGAGGUAAUUGGUUUCGGUGUGCUGGUGCUUGAAACUCUAUCCCAGUGCUUCCUUCAACUAAGGCUGCAAAUUGAAAAUGUGAAGAACCUUGCCUGCUUGAACCAGCCUGGGCUUGUGGCAGCAUCAUUCUGUCACUUAAUUCUUCUCACAGAGAUCACAUAGCUUUGCUUCCAUACCUAAAUUACUACAAAUUUGUGUCCGCUUGAAUGUUAUGUAAUUUAACCAGAAAUUGAAGAAAUACCACCAUUUUAAAGAAAAUAUGGUCAUAAACACUAUGGAAUACUAUGCAACCAUAACAAGAAUGAAAUCAUGUCCUUUGCAGCAACAUGGAUGUAGCUGGAGGCCAUUAUCCUGGGCAAAUUUGCAGGAGCAGAAAACCAGAUACCACAUCUCACAUGUAAGUGGGAGCUAAGCAUUUGGUAUACAUGGAUAUAAAGAUGGGAAAAAUAGACACUUGGUGACUAUUAGAGAGAGGAAAGAGGGAGAAGGGAGAAGCUAAAAACUACCUGUUGGGUAUUAUGCUCACUACUUGGGUGAUGGGAUCGUUUGUACCCCAAGCCUCAGCAUCACACGGUAUACCCAUGUAACAAACCUGCACACGGA
RNAcentral lists this long non-coding RNA (1083 nucleotides) under Homo sapiens (human). RNAcentral describes it as "HSALNT0347574". The record is from RNAcentral. Lineage: Eukaryota; Metazoa; Chordata; Mammalia; Primates; Hominidae.